UACGUAGGGUGCAAGCGUUGUCCGGAAUUAUUGGGCGUAAAGAGCUCGUAGGCGGUCUGUCACGUCGGAUGUGAAAACUCGGGGCUCAACCCCGAGCCUGCAUACGAUACGGGCAGACUUGAGUUCGGCAGGGGAGACUGGAAUUCCUGGUGUAGCGGUGAAAUGCGCAGAUAUCAGGAAGAACACCCGUGGCUAAGGCGGUUCUCUAGUACGGUACUGACGCUGAGACGCGAAAGCGUGGGGAGCGAACAGG
RNAcentral lists this ribosomal RNA (253 nucleotides) under uncultured bacterium. RNAcentral's name for it is "partial 16S ribosomal RNA". It matches the Rfam family "Bacterial small subunit ribosomal RNA", at positions 524 to 776 of the family's 1533-position model. The record is from RNAcentral.